GCGUGCAGGAUGACUGCUUUAUGGGUUGUAAACUGCUUUUUUACGGGAAUAAUUAUGAUCACGUGUGAUUAUUUGCAUGUACCGUAAGAAUAAGGAUCGGCUAACUCCGUGCCAGCAGCCGCGGUAAUACGGAGGAUCCUAGUGUUAUCCGGAUUUAUUGGGUUUAAAGGGAGCGUAGGCGGUAGUGUAAGACUUAGGUGAAAUCUCCAUGCUUAACGUGGAGCUCGCUUGGGAGACUGCAUUACUUGAGGAUUGGAGGGGAGACUGGAAUUCUUGGAGUAGCAGUGAAAUGCGUAGAUAUCAAGAGGAAGACCUGUGGCGAAGGCGAGUCUCUGGACAAUACUUGACGCUGAGGCUCGAAGGCCAGGGGAUCAAACGGGAUUAGAUACCCCGGUAGUCCUGGCAGUAAACGGUGCACACUUGCUGUGUGAGGGAUCGACCCCUUACGUGGCGAAGCCAACGCAUUAAGUGUGCCGCCUGGGGAGUACGGUCGCAAGACUAAAACUCAAAGAAAUUGACGGGGGCCUGCACAAGCGGUGGAGUAUGUGGCUUAAUUCGAUGCAACGCGAAGAACCUUACCUGGCCUUGACAUGCAGAUAGUAGAAGGGUGAAAGCCCGCCGAGUGAGCAAUCACAGUCUGCACAGGUGCUGCAUGGCUGUCGUCAGCUCGUGUCGUGAGAUGUUGGGUUAAGUCCCGCAACGAGCGCAACCCCUAUGUUCAGUUGCCACCUGGCCGAGAGGCUGGAGCACUCUGGAGAGACUGCCUCUUACAAAAGGGGAGGAAGGUGGGGAUGACGUCAAGUCAGUAUGGCCCUUAUGGCCAGGGCUGCACACGUACUACAAUGCGUGCUACAGAGGGAAGCGAGUCCGCAAGGAGGAGCCAAUCCGAUAAAAGCACGCUCAGUUCGGAUUGUCGGCUGCAAUUCGCCGGCAUGAAGCUGGAAUCGCUAGUAAUGGCGCAUCAGCUACGGCGCCGUGAAUACGUUCCCAGGCCUUGCAAUCACCGCCCGUCA
Molecule: ribosomal RNA, 1013 nt
Filed under: uncultured bacterium
Lineage: Bacteria
Description: bacterial SSU rRNA
Rfam family: Bacterial small subunit ribosomal RNA
Source: RNAcentral